CCCUUAGAUGUUCUGGGCCGCACGCGCGCUACACUGAUGCAUUCAACGAGUUUCUUCCUGGUCGAGAGGAAUGGGUAACCUUUUGAAAGUGCAUCGUGAUAGGGAUAGACUAUUGCAAUUAUUGGUCUUCAACGAGGAAUUCCUAGUAGACGUAGUUCAUCAGACUGCAUCGAUUACGUCCCUGCCCUUUGUACACACCGCCCGUCGCUCCUACCGAUUGAAUGCUCAGGUGAGCCAUUCGGACUUUCAUCAUGCUGGUUUCCAGUUUUGAUGAAGGAAAGUCUUGCGAACCUUAUCAUUUAGAGGAAGGAGAAGUCGUAACA
This 323-nucleotide ribosomal RNA is filed under the name uncultured eukaryote. RNAcentral describes it as "partial 18S ribosomal RNA". It matches the Rfam family "Eukaryotic small subunit ribosomal RNA", at positions 1470 to 1796 of the family's 1831-position model. The record is from RNAcentral.